This 75-nucleotide transfer RNA is filed under the name Candidatus Aenigmatarchaeota archaeon. RNAcentral describes it as "tRNA-Cys". It matches the Rfam family "tRNA". Rfam says of the family: Transfer RNA (tRNA) molecules are approximately 80 nucleotides in length. Their secondary structure includes four short double-helical elements and three loops (D, anti-codon, and T loops). Lineage: Archaea; Nanobdellati; Candidatus Aenigmatarchaeota. The record is from RNAcentral.
GCUCAGGUUGCCGAAUCCGGUUAAGGCCACCGCCUGCAGAGCGGUUGAUUGUGGGUUCAAAUCCCACCCUGAGCU